Molecule: transfer RNA, 65 nt
Filed under: Pinnotheres excussus
Lineage: Eukaryota; Metazoa; Arthropoda; Malacostraca; Decapoda; Pinnotheridae
Description: tRNA-Asn
Source: RNAcentral
UUAAUAAAAACCAAAAAGAGGUGUAUCAUUGUUAAUGAUAAUAUUGAAAUUUUUUUCUUAUUAAG